Non-coding RNA from Cryptosporidium ubiquitum, 82 nucleotides. NCBI's taxonomy places the organism in Eukaryota, Apicomplexa, Conoidasida, Eucoccidiorida, Cryptosporidiidae. The record is from Rfam.
GUCGAUCUGCCCGAGUGGUUAAGGGGCUUGACUAGAAAUCAAGUGCGGUCUCCGCGCACAGGUUCGAAUCCUGUGGUCGACG